CAGGUGAUAGUUCAAUUGGUAGAAUACAUGCUUUGGGAGUGUGGGGUUGCAGGUUCAAGUCCUGCUUACCUGA
Molecule: non-coding RNA, 73 nt
Organism: Apiotrichum porosum
Lineage: Eukaryota; Fungi; Basidiomycota; Tremellomycetes; Trichosporonales; Trichosporonaceae
Source: the annotation of a RefSeq genome assembly